RNAcentral lists this ribosomal RNA (253 nucleotides) under uncultured prokaryote. Its description in RNAcentral is "partial 16S ribosomal RNA". It matches the Rfam family "Bacterial small subunit ribosomal RNA", at positions 525 to 777 of the family's 1533-position model. The record is from RNAcentral.
ACAGAGGGGGCAAGCGUUGCUCGGAAUCACUGGGCGUAAAGCGCACGCAGGCGGAUCGUUAAGUCGGGGGUGAAAGCCCGAGGCUCAACCUCGGAACUGCCUUCGAUACUGGCGAUCUUGAGUCCGGGAGAGGUGAGUGGAACUCCGAGUGUAGAGGUGAAAUUCGUAGAUAUUCGGAAGAACACCAGUGGCGAAGGCGGCUCACUGGCCCGGUACUGACGCUGAGGUGCGAAAGCGUGGGGAGCAAACAGGA